AGUAUUACAUGUGGAGAUUGGUGGUCCUGCCUGUGGCGGGUGGCUUGGAGAUUUAUGAUCCUUGAGGUCCCUUCCAACCCAGGCUGUUCUGUGAUUCUGUGAUCUCCUUCAAGAUGAUCUGAUCCAUAACCUUCUCUGGAAUCAAAAUUCAACUGACAGGCCUGUAGCUCUCCAGAUCCUCCUCAUAAUGCUUCUUGUGGAUGGGAAUCACCCUAACAAACCUCAUGUUCUCUGGAAUCUUUCUGGUUGACCAGGAAUGCUGAUAGGUGGUGGAAAGAGACUUGACAUUCACAUCUAACAGCUCCCUCAGCACCCUUGGAUAGAUUCCACCAGGCUCCAUGGACUUGUGACAAUCUAGAUGGAGUCUCUGACAGUUUCUAAAUGUUUCAACUUGAAUCGUGGGGGUGUUUAUUCUGCUCACCAUUCCUGGACACUGGUAGGGUGAAUCCCUCUGGAUUCUCUGCUGAAGAGUAAAGGAAUCCAGGAAGGCUGGAUGUUUCUCAAGAAUGAAGUCUGUCUCUGAGUGCCCUAAGAUCAGCCAGAGGGGGAGAAGACCAUAGAAGAGCAUAGAUGAACAGGGAACUUUUCUUGAGACCCCAGAAAAAAAGAGUCUACCACGUGUAAAAGAAGAUAUGGGCAACUCAGGAAGAGUAUAAGGAAGUUGCUAGAAUAUGCACGGAGAAAAUUAGAAAGGCAAAAGUCCAGCUCAAAGUCAAGCUGGCCACUGUUGUAAAAGAUAAUAACAUUUUUUUUUUUUACAAAUAUAUUGCCAGUAAGAGGAGGGCUAAAGAGAAUCUCCAUCCUUUUUUGGACGAGCGGGGAAUGUGACCACUGAGGAUAAGAAGAAAGCUGAGAUUAUCAAUGCCUUCUUUACAUCUGUCUUUAAACGUCAGGCCAGUUAUACUCAGGUUUUCCCCAUACCUGAAAGUCUGAGAUGGGGAGCAGAAUAAACCCUGGACCAUGGUGCACACUCCAAGAGUAGAGGUAAGUCUUUCUCAUUUUCCACCUUUGCUACUGGGGCAGUGGACUCUUGCUAGAGAGAAGGUACAGUGUCUGAAAUUUUAAAGCCAUGACCCUGAGUGAAGGCAUCAGGUACCCAUAACCUCACUCCUCAUCCUCUUUAGAAACUCAUCUGUGCUUAUGUGGGAGUCUUAGAUACUGCAAACAGCUUACCAUGGAAGAGAAAGAAAGUACAAGACUGUUUACAUUAAACAAGCUCUGAAGUAAAUGCACAAAUUUGUAUUUUGCUUGCUUUGUUCACAUUAUUUGGCCCAUCAGCCUGUGAAUUGCAUCAAUUUAGACUCACUCUCAUUUAUACGAAGGGCACUUCACAUCACUCUGGUAAUAGAAAGAGGCAUUAAAAUGGCAGUAAUUUAUAUUUACAUUAUUUUUAUGGCCCUGUUGCUAUUAAAAUGGUGUGAAGUGUCAUUAAGAGAAGCCAAGAUCAGGCUCCUGAGGGUCUUUACUCUCAGACUGCCAGGGAUUACAAUUAAGAGCCUAAAUGACUAAGGGAGUGUGAGUAAAAAAAAACAUUUAAGAAAGGCAUCAGUGGCAGAAACUGUAUUUUAGAAAGGCAAGGAAAUUGUGUUGGUUUAAAUUUGUUAAACUCACUUAUAAACACAUGGGACAGAAUAUCUGCUGGAAUAAUGCCAUUUAUUUGUCUGGAAGCUGUUAAUCUCUUUCACAAGUCUAAUACUGUAAAAAAUAUUGCUGGCAUCAUAAGGCUGUUUACCAGCAUACAUAACAUAAGCAAAUGUGGAAUAUAGAUAUUUCCUUAGUGGAAGCAUAUUUAUUUAAUCUGAAAUCUCAGAAGAGAUGUCAAAGAUUUAAUAGAUAGAAAAUUAAUGAAGUUGGGGAUGGAACACUCUUCCUGCUGAUCUGAAAUGGAACAGUAUUGGAAAAGGCUCUCCUGUAGGAUGGUCACAUAGACCCAUAGUCCUGGGUCUCUUUCAAAUUUACUGUGUCUUCAUGUGUGUCUUCUGUCCCUUAGUAUAAGCUGGAUGCACAAAAGAGCUCAGUAUUCAGAGUCUGACUGAAUAAAAAUCACAAAAUCAACACAAGAAAAACCCUUUUGGUAUCCUAAAAAUAACUGGACUGUGAUAUAACUACACAAAAAGUCACUGUGCUAAUAAAUUUCACUGUUCAUCAAAAGACAUCCUUGUCUUACAACAAAAUUGGUCCAUGAAGCAUGCCUAUAAUUCAUGAACGUUAGUUAAAUCACUAAAAACAAACCAACAAGAAACAACAAAACCCAGAAAACUCUCUGUAUGCUAUAAUUAGAAUUCAGUGCAGUCCUAAUAUGGCAGGGUUCUGUUUUUCUGUUUUUUUCUGUUUGUUCGUUUGUUUUUGUUUUUGUUUUUUAAUAGGGGAAGUUGUUGAAACCAAAUCUUUUAAUUAUCAGUUGUAUAGUCACAUUUCAUAGGCAUCAGAGACACACCUAUGCAUCUAUGUAGCAACAAGAAGAUUUUUUAAUAUUUUUUUCUGAAUAAUUCUAAUGACAUAUGUACACUUUUCAGUCACAUGGAGGUUCUGCAUAAAUUUCUGCAUGCAAAUCUAUUUCAGUAAACAUUCUUACAAUAAAUGAAGAUUCUUUUGGAGAAUGUAAAGAGGAAAAGACAGCCUUAGCUAGUGCUUGAAAUGAGACAACCUCAGAUAUUCCUAUCUACCUUCAAGAAGGAGUAGCCUGAGUGGUUUCUCUGUUAAGAUACCUUGCAGCAUAGAUUAUGUUCUGCAGUCUGAUGAGUUCUCAAUACAGUCUGUGGGAAUAUUGUUAGUGGCUCACCUGUGCAAGCAAAAGAGAACUAUGCUUUCCUCAGCAAGAAGAUAAGGAUGCAGUAGUCCUAAAUACAAUUAGGAUUUGGACUUUCUUUGCGUCUCUAAUGCCUCUGAAAGGAACAGACUCCCUCGAGAGUUGGGCAGUGGGACCCUCCAGUCCUUGCCCCUUUAGAUGCUAGGUUUGUGAGCAAUGAGUAGGUGUAAAAUAUGUUCCUGUGCUUCAAGGGGGAACAAAAUUAUAAUAAAUGCUUUCAUUUUAAACUAUCACAGGAAGUGUUGUCCAACUCCCGGACUUUUUAUCACUUUCCUAAAACUGAAAAGUUGUGUUGUAAGAAAUCACUUACAGCAAAAACUGCUUCAGCUCUGAUGAACAAUUAAUAAACUUGCUGUAUCUUUUAUUUAUUUUUUUUUUUAUUGUGGUUGUUUUCAAUCACUGUACUCCACGGGAUUCUUGGACUAUUCCACUAUUCUCAGAUUAAAAAUGUAGGACAAUGAAGUACU
Molecule: long non-coding RNA, 3276 nt
Filed under: Gallus gallus (chicken)
Lineage: Eukaryota; Metazoa; Chordata; Aves; Galliformes; Phasianidae
Description: lncRNA (ENSGALG00010008530.1)
Source: RNAcentral